This is a non-coding RNA of Meleagris gallopavo (turkey), 424 nucleotides long. NCBI's taxonomy places the organism in Eukaryota, Metazoa, Chordata, Aves, Galliformes, Phasianidae. The record is from RefSeq and is a predicted model, not a curated record.
CUCCACAGGGCACCUGCACAGACAUUAUGAGAGUGAAGGUCAACAACUGACACACAUUCAUUAAGCCCAACUGGAUCACCUGACUGAUGCUGAAAACUGAUGCAGAAUAAUGAGAAUGAGUCUGCUACUAGUUCCUAGAGACACUGUAGCACCACCGAUCUACCCUUGAACAGAAUGAGCCAGCACAAGGUCGUAGACCAUGAAAUUUAUCAGGACAUUGUUCAUCCCAUCAGGGUGUUGGGCACAACACAUAUCAGAUGUCAACUAUCAGACAGAAGAAAUGUGUUUGAGUUAUUUUCCUCAAAUAUUUUUCAUUUCUGUCUGUAGGAAAACUAAUUGUCAAGUCCAUGUAAAACAAUCUCUUCUUAUUGGCAGUAAACCAAUGGUUGUAAGUGGGAAUGCUCUUCUGUUUUUCUUCAUGGAU